GACGAACGCUGGCGGCGUGCUUAACACAUGCAAGUCGAACGGAAAGGCCCUGCUUGCCGGGUGCUCGAGUGGCGAACGGGUGAGUAACACGUGGGUGAUCUGCCCCUUAUUUUGGGAUAAGCCUGGGAAACUGGGUCUAAUACUGGAUAGGACCAUGCUGUAGGUGGUGUGGUGGAAAGAUUAGUUUCGGUAAGGGAUGAGCUCGCGGCCUAUCAGCUUGUUGGUGGGGUAAUGGCCUACCAAGGCGUCGACGGGUAGCCGGCCUGAGAGGGUGGACGGCCACAUUGGGACUGAGAUACGGCCCAGACUCCUACGGGAGGCAGCAGUGGGGAAUAUUGCACAAUGGGCGCAAGCCUGAUGCAGCGACGCCGCGGGGGGGAUGACGGCCUUCGGGUUGUAAACUCCUUUCAGCCAUGACGAAGCCCUUGUGGUGACGGUAGUGGUAGAAGAAGCACCGGCUAACUACGUG
This 469-nucleotide ribosomal RNA is filed under the name uncultured bacterium. RNAcentral's name for it is "partial 16S ribosomal RNA". It matches the Rfam family "Bacterial small subunit ribosomal RNA", at positions 28 to 507 of the family's 1533-position model. The record is from RNAcentral.